Long non-coding RNA from Solanum pennellii, 892 nucleotides. RefSeq lists it as uncharacterized. The record is from RefSeq and is a predicted model, not a curated record. NCBI's taxonomy places the organism in Eukaryota, Viridiplantae, Streptophyta, Magnoliopsida, Solanales, Solanaceae. The transcript has 4 exons.
UAAAAAAGACAGUAAGUGAACAACAAAGGACGAACACUGCAUCUUCUAAAUGUUGUAAAAGUAGUACUAAUUGUACAAUAUAUUUGGCCCUUCUUCUUUGAUGAAUAAGCACGUGUCUCACUUUUGCUUCACUUUGUGUGCAAUUUUUGCACUAUCAUCUCACAAUUCUCUAUAGAUUUAUGUCUCCUCCUCUGCUAAGCUUGGUCUAUUUUCUGAACUCUUCUUUGUAGGUCUCAACUCUUCAAUGGUGAAUCCAUGUGUUACUGAGUGUCUUCUCUUUAUGUAGACACUUAAAAUCUCUGUUGUUUGUUUUGAAUGUCAUACCGAGGUAUUUCUUCAUGAUUUCAGGGGUUGUUUUGGGUGCUUGUACUUCCUGUACUAUGCUUCAACACAAAAACACAAGAGCAGAAAAUCCAGCUUUGUUAAUGCAAGUUCCUCCAUGGUUAGUUUGUCCGGAGUAGUGACUUUUGAUGAGCAACAAAUGGCAUUGGGUUGUGAGUACGUACACAUUUUCUCCUCUUCUAAGGCUGAAUACAAAUCCAAUUAAUAUGUGUGUCAGUUUAAAUAUUAGACAAUCUUGCAUCAAUGAGCAGCAGCAAAAAAAAUUGAUACUUAAUACUGUUUAAUAGUUAUAGAUAAAUGUAGGGAAAAAUGACAAUAUAUCCCGAACUAUCAUAAAUGAUACGUCAAUACCCUUCGUUAUAUUUUUGGAUUGUAUAUAUCCUUACUGUCAAUAUUUCGGAACAUAUAUACCCUUAGGAUAGACGGAGAGACGCGUGUAACUGGUAUUCAUAGGAAUAGAAUUAACUUAUGAAACCUGUAAUUUUACAAAUUGUUGUAGACCACUGUUAGAAGAAUAUGUCAGAAUUCUUCUAUUUAUUUAAGUUUGGUA